GACGAACGCUGGCGGCGGGCCUAACACAUGCAAGUCGAACGGAUAAAGCCUGCUUGGGUGUGUAUCUAGAGGCGCAAGGGUGAGUAAAACGUGGGAAACCCCCGCCUUUCACUGGGGUAUACCUGGAAAAAAGUGGGUCUAACACCGAACUUCGGCUCUUCCUGCUGGGUGGCGUUUGGAAGUUUCGGCGGCGGGGGAUGGGACCGCGGCUUGUUAGCUUGUUGGUGGGGUAGCGGCCUACCAAGGCAUUGACGGGUAGCUGGGCUGAGAGGGUGACCCGCCACAUUGGGACUGAGAUACGGCCCAGACUCCUACGGGAGGCAGCAGUGGGGAAUCUUGCACAAUGGGCGGAAGCCUGAUGCAGCAACGCCGCGUGCGGGAUGAAGGCCUUCGGGUUGUAAACCGCUUUCACCUGUGACGAAGCGUGAGUGACGGUAACGGGUAAAGAAGCACCGGCUAACUACGUG
RNAcentral lists this ribosomal RNA (467 nucleotides) under uncultured bacterium. Its description in RNAcentral is "partial 16S ribosomal RNA". It matches the Rfam family "Bacterial small subunit ribosomal RNA", at positions 28 to 507 of the family's 1533-position model. The record is from RNAcentral.